GCCUGGCUGGCUCAGUUGGUAGAGCAUGCAACUCUUUGGUCUCAGGAUCAUGAGUUCAAGCCCCAUGUUGGGCA
This 74-nucleotide transfer RNA is filed under the name Canis lupus familiaris (dog). It matches the Rfam family "tRNA". From Rfam's summary of the family: Transfer RNA (tRNA) molecules are approximately 80 nucleotides in length. Lineage: Eukaryota; Metazoa; Chordata; Mammalia; Carnivora; Canidae. RNAcentral also lists the same sequence under 1 other name. The record is from Rfam by way of RNAcentral.